GGGCAAGCGUUGUCCGGAUUUAUUGGGCGUAAAGAGCGUGUAGGCGGCCAGGUAGGUCCGUUGUGAAAACUGGAGGCUUAACCUCCAGCUGUCGAUGGAAACCAUCUGGCUAGAGUCCGGAAGAGGAGAGUGGAAUUCCUGGUGUAGCGGUGAAAUGCGCAGAUAUCAGGAAGAACACCCGUGGCGAAGGCGGCUCUCUGGGACGGUACUGACGCUGAGACGCGAAAGCGUGGGGAGCGAACAGG
Molecule: ribosomal RNA, 245 nt
Filed under: uncultured bacterium
Lineage: Bacteria
Description: partial 16S ribosomal RNA
Rfam family: Bacterial small subunit ribosomal RNA
Source: RNAcentral